RNAcentral lists this ribosomal RNA (699 nucleotides) under uncultured bacterium. RNAcentral describes it as "bacterial SSU rRNA". It matches the Rfam family "Bacterial small subunit ribosomal RNA", at positions 138 to 823 of the family's 1533-position model. The record is from RNAcentral.
CUGGAACAACUUACCGAAAGGUGAGCUAAUGCCGGAUGAGUUAUAUAAGUGCAUGUUUAUAUAGGAAAAGUUGGGGAGACCUGACGCUGAAAGAUGGACUCGCGUCCCAUUAGCUAGUUGGUAGGGUAAUGGCCUACCAAGGCGACGAUGGGUAGCCGGCCUGAGAGGGUGGCCGGCCACACUGGGACUGAGACACGGCCCAGACUCCUACGGGAGGCAGCAGUGGGGAAUUUUGCGCAAUGCUCGUAAGAGUGACGCAGCGACGCCGCGUGAAUGACGAAGGCCUUCGGGUCGUAAAGUUCUUUCGACAGGGAAGAAAAUGCCUAUAAGUAACUGUGUAUGUAUUGACGGUACCUGUAUAAGCAGCCCCGGCUAACUCCGUGCCAGCAGCCGCGGUAAUACGGAGGGGGCGAGCGUUGUUCGGAGUGACUGGGCGUAAAGAGCACGUAGGCGGUGUUGUAAGUCAUUAGUCAAAGACUAGAGCUCAACUUUAGUAAGGCUAGUGAUACUAUAAUACUAGAGUAUCAGAGAGGAUUGCAGAAUUCCUGGUGUAGCGGUGAAAUGCGUAGAUAUCAGGAGGAAUACCGUUAGCGAAGGCGGCAAUCUGGCUGGAAACUGACGCUGAGGUGCGAAAGCGUGGGUAGCAAACAGGAUUAGAUACCCUGGUAGUCCACGCUGUAAACGAUGGAUGCUAGGUGU